This 468-nucleotide ribosomal RNA is filed under the name uncultured bacterium. RNAcentral describes it as "partial 16S ribosomal RNA". It matches the Rfam family "Bacterial small subunit ribosomal RNA", at positions 28 to 507 of the family's 1533-position model. The record is from RNAcentral.
GACGAACGCUGGCGGCGUGCUUAACACAUGCAAGUCGAACGGAAAGGCCCUGCUUUUGUGGGGUUCUCGCGUGGCGAACGUGUGUGUAACCCGUGAGUCUCCUGCCCUUUACUUUGUGAUAUCUUCAGGCAACUGGUGCUACUACCGGCUACGUGCUCCUGCUGCUUGGUGGGGUUUGGAAAGUUUCGGCGGGUGGGGAUGGACUCGCGGCUUAUCAGCUUGUUGGUGGGGUAGUGGCUUACCAAGGGUUUGAUGGCUAGGCGGCCUGAGAGGUGGACCGGGGACAUGGGGACUGAGGGACGGACCAGAGGGGAACGGGAGGCAGCAGGGGGGAAUAUGGCACAAGGGGCGGAAGUGUGAGGAAGAAACGCCGCGAGCGGGAUGAAGGCCUGCGGGGGGGAAACGGCUGUAGGCUGAGACGAAGCGGGAGUGACGGUAAUGGGUAAAGAAGCACCGGCUAACUACGUG